UGCUAAUCUGCGAUAAGCGUCGGUAAGGUGAUAUGAACCGUUAUAACCGGCGAUUUCCGAAUGGGGAAACCCAGUGUGUUUCGACACACUAUCAUUAACUGAAUCCAUAGGUUAAUGAGGCGAACCGGGGGAACUGAAACAUCUAAGUACCCCGAGGAAAAGAAAUCAACCGAGAUUCCCCCAGUAGCGGCGAGCGAACGGGGAGCAGCCCAGAGCCUGAAUCAGUGUGUGUGUUAGUGGAAGCGUCUGGAAAGGCGCGCGAUACAGGGUGACAGCCCCGUACACAAAAAUGCACAUGCUGUGAGCUCGAUGAGUAGGGCGGGACACGUGGUAUCCUGUCUGAAUAUGGGGGGACCAUCCUCCAAGGCUAAAUACUCCUGACUGACCGAUAGUGAACCAGUACCGUGAGGGAAAGGCGAAAAGAACCCCGGCGAGGGGAGUGAAAAAGAACCUGAAACCGUGUACGUACAAGCAGUGGGAGCACGCUUAGGCGUGUGACUGCGUACCUUUUGUAUAAUGGGUCAGCGACUUAUAUUCUGUAGCAAGGUUAACCGAAUAGGGGAGCCGAAGGGAAACCGAGUCUUAACUGGGCGUUAAGUUGCAGGGUAUAGACCCGAAACCCGGUGAUCUAGCCAUGGGCAGGUUGAAGGUUGGGUAACACUAACUGGAGGACCGAACCGACUAAUGUUGAAAAAUUAGCGGAUGACUUGUGGCUGGGGGUGAAAGGCCAAUCAAACCGGGAGAUAGCUGGUUCUCCCCGAAAGCUAUUUAGGUAGCGCCUCGUGAAUUCAUCUCCGGGGGUAGAGCACUGUUUCGGCAAGGGGGUCAUCCCGACUUACCAACCCGAUGCAAACUGCGAAUACCGGAGAAUGUUAUCACGGGAGACACACGGCGGGUGCUAACGUCCGUCGUGAAGAGGGAAACAACCCAGACCGCCAGCUAAGGUCCCAAAGUCAUGGUUAAGUGGGAAACGAUGUGGGAAGGCCCAGACAGCCAGGAUGUUGGCUUAGAAGCAGCCAUCAUUUAAAGAAAGCGUAAUAGCUCACUGGUCGAGUCGGCCUGCGCGGAAGAUGUAACGGGGCUAAACCAUGCACCGAAGCUGCGGCAGCGACGCUGAUGCGUUGUUGGGUAGGGGAGCGUUCUGUAAGCCUGCGAAGGUGUGCUGUGAGGCAUGCUGG
This 1178-nucleotide ribosomal RNA is filed under the name Escherichia coli. RNAcentral describes it as "partial 23S ribosomal RNA". It matches the Rfam family "Bacterial large subunit ribosomal RNA", at positions 59 to 1276 of the family's 2925-position model. The record is from RNAcentral. Lineage: Bacteria; Pseudomonadati; Pseudomonadota; Gammaproteobacteria; Enterobacterales; Enterobacteriaceae.